RNAcentral lists this transfer RNA (70 nucleotides) under Chiloscyllium griseum (grey bambooshark). Its description in RNAcentral is "tRNA-Ile". It matches the Rfam family "tRNA". Rfam says of the family: Transfer RNA (tRNA) molecules are approximately 80 nucleotides in length. Their secondary structure includes four short double-helical elements and three loops (D, anti-codon, and T loops). Further hydrogen bonds mediate the characteristic L-shaped molecular structure. tRNAs have two regions of fundamental functional importance: the anti-codon, which is responsible for specific mRNA codon recognition, and the 3' end, to which the tRNAs corresponding amino acid is attached (by aminoacyl-tRNA synthetases). tRNAs cope with the degeneracy of the genetic code in two manners: having more than one tRNA (with a specific anti-codon) for a particular amino acid; and 'wobble' base-pairing, i.e. permitting non-standard base-pairing at the 3rd anti-codon position. Lineage: Eukaryota; Metazoa; Chordata; Chondrichthyes; Orectolobiformes; Hemiscylliidae. The record is from RNAcentral.
GGAAGCGUGCCUGAAUUAAAGGAUCACUUUGAUAGAGUGAAUCAUAAGAGUUAAAAUCUCUUCACUUCCU